GAUGAACGCUGGCGGCGUGCUUAACACAUGCAAGUCGAACGGAAAGGCCCAAGCUUGCUUGGGUGCUCGAGUGGCGAACGGGUGAGUAACACGUGGGUGAUCUGCCCUGCACUUUGGGAUAAGCCUGGGAAACUGGGUCUAAUACCGGAUAGGACCAUCGUUUAGUGUCGGUGGUGGAAAGUUUUUCGGUGUGGGAUGAGCUCGCGGCCUAUCAGCUUGUUGGUGGGGUAAUGGCCUACCAAGGCGUCGACGGGUAGCCGGCCUGAGAGGGUGUACGGCCACAUUGGGACUGAGAGACGGCCCAGACUCCUACGGGAGGCAGCAGUGGGGAAGAUUGCACAAUGGGCGCAAGCCUGAUGCAGCGACGCCGCGUGGGGGAUGACGGCCUUCGGGUUGUAAAAGCCUUUCGACAAGGACGAAGCGUUUUGUGACGGUACUUGGAGAAGAAGCACCGGCUAACUACGUG
RNAcentral lists this ribosomal RNA (466 nucleotides) under uncultured bacterium. RNAcentral's name for it is "partial 16S ribosomal RNA". It matches the Rfam family "Bacterial small subunit ribosomal RNA", at positions 28 to 507 of the family's 1533-position model. The record is from RNAcentral.